AUGCCAGAUCUCAUACCCCUUUUCUGUGGGCCAACAUGGCAAACAAAAAUGUUGCUUAGUAUAGGCACAAGGUUAUCAAGUCCUAGGGAUUCAAUCAUGCUUGUCUUCUCGAAGGACCAUGCCACUGGAACAGGAGCUAGAAAAGCUGCUGAAAGUGUAGCCAAAAUGGUUGCAGAGAAUGCCAACAACAUAAAAAAUGAGCCUACUACAACUUCUUCAACUAAAACCGGUGAGAAAAAGAAAUGGAGAGGAUAUCAAUCAGAUGACUCAGUUGCAUCUAUGCUUGGUGAAAACCUGGAUAACUUCACUAGCGACUACAAAGCUAAUAUUGCUCUGGUUGCUCUUCUCGAGAAACCCUCCUCUCCCGAAGAUAUACUUGUCGUGCUCAAUGCAGUUGCGAGGCUAGACAAUGAUGGUUUUUAG
This 423-nucleotide ribosomal RNA is filed under the name Triticum aestivum (bread wheat). RNAcentral describes it as "partial small subunit ribosomal RNA". Lineage: Eukaryota; Viridiplantae; Streptophyta; Magnoliopsida; Poales; Poaceae. The record is from RNAcentral.